This 335-nucleotide ribosomal RNA is filed under the name uncultured bacterium. RNAcentral describes it as "bacterial SSU rRNA". It matches the Rfam family "Bacterial small subunit ribosomal RNA", at positions 29 to 390 of the family's 1533-position model. The record is from RNAcentral.
AGCGAACGCUGGCGGCAGGCUUAACACAUGCAAGUCGAGCGGGCACUUCGGUGUCAGCGGCAGACGGGUGAGUAACACGUGGGAACGUGCCCUUCGGUUCGGAAUAACUCAGGGAAACUUGAGCUAAUACCGGAUACGCCCUUUGGGGGAAAGGUUUACUGCCGAAGGAUCGGCCCGCGUCUGAUUAGCUAGUUGGUGGGGUAAUGGCCUACCAAGGCGACGAUCAGUAGCUGGUCNGAGAGGAUGAUCAGCCACACUGGGACUGAGACACGGCCCAGACUCCUACGGGAGGCAGCAGGUGGGGAAUAUUGGACAAUGGGCGCAAGCCUGAUCCA